This 253-nucleotide ribosomal RNA is filed under the name uncultured bacterium. RNAcentral's name for it is "partial 16S ribosomal RNA". It matches the Rfam family "Bacterial small subunit ribosomal RNA", at positions 524 to 776 of the family's 1533-position model. The record is from RNAcentral.
UACGUAGGGGGCAAGCGUUGUUCGGAAUUACUGGGCGUAAAGGGCGCGUAGGCGGCACAGCAAGUCGGGAGUGAAAGCCCGGGGCUCAACCCCGGAAUGGCUUUCGAAACUGCUGAGCUAGAGUACAGAAGGGGCAACCGGAAUUCCCAGUGUAGCGGUGAAAUGCGUAGAUAUUGGGAAGAACACCUGAGGCGAAGGCGGGUUGCUGGGCUGAUACUGACGCUGAGGCGCGAAAGCAUGGGGAGCGAACAGG